UCCCUGAUAGCUCAGUUGGUAAAGAAUCCGCCUGCAAUGCAGGAGACCUAGGUUCGAUUCCUGGGUUGGGAA
RNAcentral lists this transfer RNA (72 nucleotides) under Bos taurus (domestic cattle). It matches the Rfam family "tRNA". From Rfam's summary of the family: Transfer RNA (tRNA) molecules are approximately 80 nucleotides in length. Their secondary structure includes four short double-helical elements and three loops (D, anti-codon, and T loops). Further hydrogen bonds mediate the characteristic L-shaped molecular structure. tRNAs have two regions of fundamental functional importance: the anti-codon, which is responsible for specific mRNA codon recognition, and the 3' end, to which the tRNAs corresponding amino acid is attached (by aminoacyl-tRNA synthetases). tRNAs cope with the degeneracy of the genetic code in two manners: having more than one tRNA (with a specific anti-codon) for a particular amino acid; and 'wobble' base-pairing, i.e. permitting non-standard base-pairing at the 3rd anti-codon position. The record is from Rfam by way of RNAcentral. RNAcentral also lists the same sequence under 4 other names. Lineage: Eukaryota; Metazoa; Chordata; Mammalia; Artiodactyla; Bovidae.